RNAcentral lists this ribosomal RNA (443 nucleotides) under uncultured bacterium. RNAcentral's name for it is "partial 16S ribosomal RNA". It matches the Rfam family "Bacterial small subunit ribosomal RNA", at positions 338 to 795 of the family's 1533-position model. The record is from RNAcentral.
CCUACGGGUGGCAGCAGUGAGGAAUAUUGGUCAAUGGGCGCGAGCCUGAACCAGCCAAGUAGCGUGAAGGAUGACUGCCCUACGGGUUGUAAACUUCUUUUAUAAGCGAGAAAUAUGAUGGUAACUUAUGAAUAAGGAUCGGCUAACUACGUGCCAGCAGCAGCGGUCAUACGUAGGAUCCGAGCAUUAUCCGGAGUAACUGGGUGUAAAGGGUUGCGUAGGUGGCAUAAUAAGUAGCUAGUGAAAUCUGGUGGCUCAACCAUUCAGACUAUUAGCUAAACUGUUAAGCUCGAGACCGUUAGGGGUAACUAGAAUUUCUAGGGUAGGAGUGAAAUCCGUAGAGAUUAGAAGGAACACCAAUAGCGUAGGCAGGUUGCUGGGACGGUUCUGACACUAAGGUACGAAAGCGUAGGGAGCAAACGGGAUUAGAUACCCCAGUAGUC